AAGCACAGAAACCAUUCGGCAACUCUGCGAGAGAGAAACCGCUAACCACCAUGGACGGUCUCUCUGCUUAUCCUUCUUCAUCUCCCUAUCCGACAGCCUUUUCGCUAUAUGUAUACAGCAGUGCAGACAUACGUAUAUGUACUGUAUUCGUCGAGAAGCUCUGCAUGUAUACCCAUCUUCUUCGAUUUUCUCGAGAAACUCCGACGAAGCCAACUUGAUCGAGAAGCUCUACGACUUGGGCGAGCGCCUGAAUGAGUCCAAGGGCAAGUCUCAGAAUGUGGAAGAUUAAGAAGGGAUCAUCGACCUGUCGAAGACGAGGAUCAAGGCCAAAUAGCUCGGAGCACGGCUAAUUCCUCGACCAAUGCCUUCGAUGCCCGUGUGGAUUACCUAUAGGAAGACGAUCUCAGGGUCUGUACUUAAUCAAUCUUCUUCUGUAUGCGACUGAAUCAGAAGCUGUUUAGGAACACCACCAUCAUACUCUCAUUUACGAUCUUUUGGUUGUCUUUGUUAUGUGUCCACCAACACAAAGAACCGUCACAAGUUUUCCCCGAGGGCUUCUCCUUCUGUGUAUUUCUUGGUUAUCCUUAUGGAAUCAAAGGUUACAAGACAUUAAAACCUUGCACCCAAUGUUGUAACAGUUUCUCGUAAUGUAAUUUUCGAUGAAUCUGUUUUUCCAUUUAAGAUAA
Molecule: long non-coding RNA, 686 nt
Organism: Tarenaya hassleriana
Lineage: Eukaryota; Viridiplantae; Streptophyta; Magnoliopsida; Brassicales; Cleomaceae
Exons: 2
Source: RefSeq, a predicted model, not a curated record